RNAcentral lists this long non-coding RNA (276 nucleotides) under Daucus carota (carrot). RNAcentral describes it as "long non-coding RNA (DCAR_LNC006192)". The record is from RNAcentral. Lineage: Eukaryota; Viridiplantae; Streptophyta; Magnoliopsida; Apiales; Apiaceae.
CUUAGCCGAUAAUGGAGGAUACUGAAUAGUUAAGGAUUUCCUGAACUAUGAUUUAUGGAAGGAUGGACUCUGGUUUAUGAAAAGUUGAUUAUCAAAGUUUGAUUUGGAAUUAUUCUAUCAUUGAUAUUGAUUGUGUUUAUGUUCUGUUGUUAUACGUUGACCUGUUAUUGAAUUAUAGAAUUGGAUUAUUGUUUUUAUAUAAACCUGUGGACCAGAUUCGUGGUCAUGUUAGGCCAAUGAGUGCCUUGGAUCCAGUGAUAGAGCAUGGCGGGGCCA